Molecule: ribosomal RNA, 323 nt
Filed under: uncultured bacterium
Lineage: Bacteria
Description: bacterial SSU rRNA
Rfam family: Bacterial small subunit ribosomal RNA
Source: RNAcentral
AGCGAACGUUAGCGGCGGGCCUAACACAUGCAAGUCGAGCGAGAAAGUGGCUUCGGCCAUCAGUAAAGCGGCGGACGGGUGAGUAACACGUAGGUAAUCUUCCCUUGAGCGGGGGGACAGCGUUUCGAAAGGAACGCUAAUACCGCAUAAGUUUUCUGAGCCUCCGGGUUUGGGAAGGAAAGCCAGGUCGCAAGAUCCGGCACUCGAGGAGGAGCCUGCGUCGCAUCAGCUAGUUGGGGGGUAAUGGCCUACCAAGGCGAAGACGCGUAGCUGGUCUGAGAGGAUGAUCAGCCACACUGGGACUGAGACACGGCCCAGACUCC